RNAcentral lists this ribosomal RNA (1330 nucleotides) under Paenarthrobacter sp. RNAcentral's name for it is "bacterial SSU rRNA". It matches the Rfam family "Bacterial small subunit ribosomal RNA", at positions 81 to 1422 of the family's 1533-position model. The record is from RNAcentral. Lineage: Bacteria; Bacillati; Actinomycetota; Actinomycetes; Micrococcales; Micrococcaceae.
UUGCUGGGGGAUUAGUGGCGAACGGGUGAGUAACACGUGAGUAACCUGCCCUUGACUCUGGGAUAAGCCUGGGAAACUGGGUCUAAUACCGGAUACGACUAUCUGACGCAUGUCAUGGUGGUGGAAAGCUUUUGCGGUUUUGGAUGGACUCGCGGCCUAUCAGCUUGUUGGUGGGGUAAUGGCCUACCAAGGCGACGACGGGUAGCCGGCCUGAGAGGGUGACCGGCCACACUGGGACUGAGACACGGCCCAGACUCCUACGGGAGGCAGCAGUGGGGAAUAUUGCACAAUGGGCGAAAGCCUGAUGCAGCGACGCCGCGUGAGGGAUGACGGCCUUCGGGUUGUAAACCUCUUUCAGUAGGGAAGAAGCGAAAGUGACGGUACCUGCAGAAGAAGCGCCGGCUAACUACGUGCCAGCAGCCGCGGUAAUACGUAGGGCGCAAGCGUUAUCCGGAAUUAUUGGGCGUAAAGAGCUCGUAGGCGGUUUGUCGCGUCUGCUGUGAAAGACCGGGGCUCAACUCCGGUUCUGCAGUGGGUACGGGCAGACUAGAGUGCAGUAGGGGAGACUGGAAUUCCUGGUGUAGCGGUGAAAUGCGCAGAUAUCAGGAGGAACACCGAUGGCGAAGGCAGGUCUCUGGGCUGUAACUGACGCUGAGGAGCGAAAGCAUGGGGAGCGAACAGGAUUAGAUACCCUGGUAGUCCAUGCCGUAAACGUUGGGCACUAGGUGUGGGGGACAUUCCACGUUUUCCGCGCCGUAGCUAACGCAUUAAGUGCCCCGCCUGGGGAGUACGGCCGCAAGGCUAAAACUCAAAGGAAUUGACGGGGGCCCGCACAAGCGGCGGAGCAUGCGGAUUAAUUCGAUGCAACGCGAAGAACCUUACCAAGGCUUGACAUGAACCGGAAAGACCUGGAAACAGGUGCCCCGCUUGCGGUCGGUUUACAGGUGGUGCAUGGUUGUCGUCAGCUCGUGUCGUGAGAUGUUGGGUUAAGUCCCGCAACGAGCGCAACCCUCGUUCUAUGUUGCCAGCGCGUUAUGGCGGGGACUCAUAGGAGACUGCCGGGGUCAACUCGGAGGAAGGUGGGGACGACGUCAAAUCAUCAUGCCCCUUAUGUCUUGGGCUUCACGCAUGCUACAAUGGCCGGUACAAAGGGUUGCGAUACUGUGAGGUGGAGCUAAUCCCAAAAAGCCGGUCUCAGUUCGGAUUGGGGUCUGCAACUCGACCCCAUGAAGUCGGAGUCGCUAGUAAUCGCAGAUCAGCAACGCUGCGGUGAAUACGUUCCCGGGCCUUGUACACACCGCCCGUCAAGUCACGAAAGUUGGUAACACCC